This 630-nucleotide ribosomal RNA is filed under the name uncultured Bacilli bacterium. RNAcentral describes it as "bacterial SSU rRNA". It matches the Rfam family "Bacterial small subunit ribosomal RNA", at positions 75 to 692 of the family's 1533-position model. Lineage: Bacteria; Bacillati; Bacillota; Bacilli. The record is from RNAcentral.
GGAGCUUGCUCUUCUUGGAUGAGUUGCGAACGGGUGAGUAACGCGUAGGUAACCUGCCUUGUAGCGGGGGAUAACUAUUGGAAACGAUAGCUAAUACCGCAUAACAAUGGAUGACACAUGUCAUUUAUUUGAAAGGGGCAAUUGCUCCACUACAAGAUGGACCUGCGUUGUAUUAGCUAGUAGGUGAGGUAACGGCUCACCUAGGCGACGAUACAUAGCCGACCUGAGAGGGUGAUCGGCCACACUGGGACUGAGACACGGCCCAGACUCCUACGGGAGGCAGCAGUAGGGAAUCUUCGGCAAUGGGGGCAACCCUGACCGAGCAACGCCGCGUGAGUGAAGAAGGUUUUCGGAUCGUAAAGCUCUGUUGUAAGUCAAGAACGAGUGUGAGAGUGGAAAGUUCACACUGUAACGGUAGCUUACCAGAAAGGGACGGCUAACUACGUGCCAGCAGCCGCGGUAAUACGUAGGUCCCGAGCGUUGUCCGGAUUUAUUGGGCGUAAAGCGAGCGCAGGCGGUUUGAUAAGUCUGAAGUUAAAGGCUGUGGCUCAACCAUAGUUCGCUUUGGAAACUGUCAAACUUGAGUGCAGAAGGGGAGAGUGGAAUUCAUGUUUAGCGGUGAAAUGCGUA